CCUACGGGAGGCAGCAGUGAGGAAUAUUGGUCAAUGGGCGUAAGCCUGAACCAGCCAAGUCGCGUGAGGGAUGAAGGUUCUAUGGAUCGUAAACCUCUUUUAUAAGGGAAUAAAGUGUGGGACGUGUCCGAUUUUGUAUGUACCUUAUGAAUAAGGAUCGGCUAACUCCGUGCCAGCAGCCGCGGUAAUACGGAGGAUCCGAGCGUUAUCCGGAUUUAUUGGGUUUAAAGGGUGCGUAGGCGGCCUCUUAAGUCAGCGGUGAAAUUCUGUGGCUCAACCAUAGCAGUGCCGUUGAAACUGGGGGGCUUGAGUAUGUUUGAGGCAGGCGGAAUGCGUGGUGUAGCGGUGAAAUGCUUAGAUAUCACGAAGAACCCCGAUUGCGAAGGCAGCCUGCCAAGCCAAGACUGACGCUGAUGCACGAAAGCGUGGGGAUCAAACAGGAUUAGAUACCCGAGUAGUC
This 460-nucleotide ribosomal RNA is filed under the name uncultured bacterium. RNAcentral's name for it is "partial 16S ribosomal RNA". It matches the Rfam family "Bacterial small subunit ribosomal RNA", at positions 338 to 795 of the family's 1533-position model. The record is from RNAcentral.